AAAGGUUCCUCCGGAGAGAUCCCCUUAGAUGCGGGACGCCGAAGGCGCAACUCGCCCGUAAACGCUCAGGCAGAAGGACGGAAGGAACCGG
This 91-nucleotide non-coding RNA is filed under the name Gammaproteobacteria bacterium. Its description in RNAcentral is "Glycine sequence". It matches the Rfam family "Glycine riboswitch aptamer". Rfam says of the family: This family represents the bacterial glycine riboswitch. Glycine riboswitches usually consist of two metabolite-binding aptamers domains with similar structures in tandem. Lineage: Bacteria; Pseudomonadati; Pseudomonadota; Gammaproteobacteria. The record is from RNAcentral.